AAUAUUGAGACAUAAAAAGACAACUGUUACGUAGAGUAGCUGUUGACAUUAUAGUUGCGCAGGAACUUUGUUGACUCUAGAGAACCUCGGGCAAAUCGUACAUCCCUGUGGCGGCAACUUUGCAUGUGGAUGUCAUCCAUAUCAACUUUCGAUGGUGACCACGGGUAACAGGGAAUCAGGGUUCCAUUCCAUACAGGGACCCUGAGAAAUGGCUACCACAUGCAAAGAAGGCAGCAGGUGUGCAAAUGACUCACUCCUGACGCGGGAAGGUAGUGA
Pelobates cultripes (western spadefoot toad) is the source of this 276-nucleotide non-coding RNA. NCBI's taxonomy places the organism in Eukaryota, Metazoa, Chordata, Amphibia, Anura, Pelobatidae. The record is from the annotation of a GenBank genome assembly.